This 301-nucleotide ribosomal RNA is filed under the name uncultured bacterium. Its description in RNAcentral is "partial 16S ribosomal RNA". It matches the Rfam family "Bacterial small subunit ribosomal RNA", at positions 509 to 807 of the family's 1533-position model. The record is from RNAcentral.
CAGCCGCCGCGGUAAUACGUAGGGUGCAAGCGUUAAUCGGAAUUACUGGGCGUAAAGCGUGCGCAGGCGGUUUUGUAAGACAGAGGUGAAAUCCCCGGGCUCAACCUGGGAACUGCCUUUGUGACUGCAAGGCUAGAGUACGGCAGAGGGGGAUGGAAUUCCGCGUGUAGCAGUGAAAUGCGUAGAUAUGCGGAGGAACACCGAUGGCGAAGGCAAUCCCCUGGGCCUGUACUGACGCUCAUGCACGAAAGCGUGGGGAGCAAACAGGAUUAGAUACCCCCGUAGUCCCUGUCUCUUAUAC